AGCGAACGCUGGCGGCAGGCCUAAAACAUGCAAGUCGAACGCCCUAGCAAUAGGGAGUGGCAGACGGGUGAGUAACACGUGGGAACGUGCCUUUUGGUUCGGAACAACACAGGGAAACUUGUGCUAAUACCGGAUAAGCCCUUACGGGGAAAGAUUUAUCGCCAAAAGAUCGGCCCGCGUCUGAUUAGCUAGUUGGUGGGGUAGCGGCCCACCAAGGCUACGAUCAGUAGCUGGUCUGAGAGGAUGAUCAGCCACACUGGGACUGAGACACGGCCCAGACUCCUACGGGAGGCAGCAGUUAGGAAUCUUGGACAAUGGGCGCAAGCCUGAUCCAGCCAUGCCGCGUGAGUGAUGAAGGCCUUAGGGUUGUAAAGCUCUUUCAGCGGGGAAGAUAAUGACGGUACCCGCAGAAGAAGCCCCGGCUAACUUCGUGCCAGCCGCCACAGUAA
Molecule: ribosomal RNA, 449 nt
Filed under: uncultured bacterium
Lineage: Bacteria
Description: partial 16S ribosomal RNA
Rfam family: Bacterial small subunit ribosomal RNA
Source: RNAcentral